RNAcentral lists this ribosomal RNA (465 nucleotides) under uncultured bacterium. RNAcentral's name for it is "partial 16S ribosomal RNA". It matches the Rfam family "Bacterial small subunit ribosomal RNA", at positions 338 to 795 of the family's 1533-position model. The record is from RNAcentral.
CCUACGGGUGGCAGCAGUGGGGAAUAUUGCGCAAUGGGCGAAAGCCUGACGCAGCGACGCCGCGUGAGGGAUGAAGGUCUUCGGAUCGUAAACCUCUGUCAGCAGGGAAGAACGGUCACUGUGCUAAUCAGCAGUGACUUGACGGUACCUGCAAAGGAAGCACCGGCUAACUCCGUGCCAGCAGCCGCGGUCAUACGGAGGGUGCGAGCGUUAAUCGGAAUUACUGGGCGUAAAGCGCUCGUAGGCGGUAUGUCAAGGCAAGGGUGAAAUCCCCGCGCUCAACGGGGGAACUGCCUUUGAAGCUGGCAAACUGGAGUGUGUGAGAGGAUAGUGGAAUUCCAGGUGUAGGAGUGAAAUCCGUAGAUAUCUGGAGGAACAUCAGUGGCGAAGGCGACUAUCUGGCACAUAACUGACGCUGAGGAGCGAAAGCGUGGGUAGCAAACAGGAUUAGAUACCCGGGUAGUC